CACGCCCUAAACGGUGCACACUAGGUCUUGGCGGAUUUGACCCCGCCAGGGCCCAAGCUAACGCGUUAAGUGUGCCGCCUGAGGACUACGGCCGCAAGGCUAAAACUCAAAGGAAUUGACGGGGGCCCGCACAAGCGGUGGAGUAUGUGGCUCAAUUCGAUGCAACGCGAAGAACCUUACCUGGCCUUGACAUGCACUAGACAGACGCUGAAAGGCGUUCUCCCUUCGGGGCUGGUGCACAGGUGC
Molecule: ribosomal RNA, 246 nt
Filed under: uncultured bacterium
Lineage: Bacteria
Description: partial 16S ribosomal RNA
Rfam family: Bacterial small subunit ribosomal RNA
Source: RNAcentral